Long non-coding RNA from Sapajus apella (tufted capuchin), 147 nucleotides. RefSeq lists it as uncharacterized. The transcript is spliced from 3 exons. NCBI's taxonomy places the organism in Eukaryota, Metazoa, Chordata, Mammalia, Primates, Cebidae. The record is from RefSeq and is a predicted model, not a curated record.
ACUAUUGUGUUGCAGUUGCCUGCAAUAGUCAGUAUUCAGUAACAUGCUGUACAGGUUUGUAGCCUAGGAGCAGUAGGCUAGACCAUAUAGCCUAGAUGCGUAGUAGGCUGUACCACCUAGGUUUAACUAUCUAGUUUGUGUAAGCAU